RNAcentral lists this ribosomal RNA (497 nucleotides) under uncultured bacterium. RNAcentral describes it as "partial 16S ribosomal RNA". It matches the Rfam family "Bacterial small subunit ribosomal RNA", at positions 28 to 507 of the family's 1533-position model. The record is from RNAcentral.
GAUGAACGCUGGCGGCGUGCCUAAUACAUGCAAGUCGAGCGAACAGAUGAGGAGCUUGCUCCUCUGACGUUAGCGGCGGACGGGUGAGUAACACGUGGAUAACCUACCUAUAAGACUGGGAUAACUUCGGGAAACCGGAGCUAAUACCGGAUAAUAUAUUGAACCGCAUGGUUCAAUAGUGAAAGACGGUUUUGCUGUCACUUAUAGAUGGAUCCGCGCCGCAUUAGCUAGUUGGUAAGGUAACGGCUUACCAAGGCAACGAUGCGUAGCCGACCUGAGAGGGUGAUCGGCCACACUGGAACUGAGACCCGGUCCAGACUCCUACGGGAGGCAGCAGUAGGGAAUCUUCCGCAAUGGGCGAAAGCCUGACGGAGCAACGCCGCGUGAGUGAUGAAGGUCUUCGGAUCGUAAAACUCUGUUAUUAGGGGAGAACAAAUGUGUAAGUAACUAUGCACGUCUUGACGGUACCUAAUCAGAAAGCCACGGCUAACUACGUG